GAUGAACGCUGGCGGCGUGCCUAAUACAUGCAAGUCGAGCGAACAGACGAGGAGCUUGCUCCUCUGACGUUAGCGGCGGACGGGUGAGUAACACGUGGAUAACCUACCUAUAAGACUGGGAUAACUUCGGGAAACCGGAGCUAAUACCGGAUAAUAUAUUGAACCGCAUGGUUCAAUAGUGAAAGACGGUUUUGCGGUCACUUAUAGAUGGAUCCGCGCCGCAUUAGCUAGUUGGUAAGGUAACGGCUUACCAAGGCAACGAUGCGUAGCCGACCUGAGAGGCUGAUCGGCCACCCUGGAACGGAGACACGGUCCAGACUCCUACGGGAGGCAGCAGUAGGGAAUCUUCCGCAAUGGGCGAAAGCCUGACGGAGCAAGGCCGCGUGAGUGAUGAAGGUCUUCGGAUCGUAAAACUCUGUUAUUAGGGAAGAACAAAUGUGUAAGUAACUAUGCACGUCUUGACGGUACCUAAUCAGAAAGCCACGGCUAACUACGUG
This 497-nucleotide ribosomal RNA is filed under the name uncultured bacterium. RNAcentral's name for it is "partial 16S ribosomal RNA". It matches the Rfam family "Bacterial small subunit ribosomal RNA", at positions 28 to 507 of the family's 1533-position model. The record is from RNAcentral.